UACGAAGGGAGCUAGCGUUGUUCGGAAUUACUGGGCGUAAAGGGCGCGUAGGCGGUUUGACAAGUCAGGUGUGAAAGCCCCGAGCUCAACUCGGGAAUUGCGCUUGAGACUGUCUUUCUUAGAGUUUGGGAGAGGUAAGUGGAAUUCCCAGUGUAGCAGUGAAAUGCGUAGAUAUUGGGAAGAACACCCGUGGCGAAGGCGGCUUACUGGACCAAAACUGACGCUGAGGCGCGAAAGCGUGGGGAGCAAACAGG
This 254-nucleotide ribosomal RNA is filed under the name uncultured bacterium. RNAcentral describes it as "partial 16S ribosomal RNA". It matches the Rfam family "Bacterial small subunit ribosomal RNA", at positions 524 to 776 of the family's 1533-position model. The record is from RNAcentral.